CGGUUAACUGUGAGGAUAGGCCAUGAGGAUGCUGUACUUCCACCCCUCUCCCCCGCCCAAGCCCAGAAAGCCCCAAGUCACUCACAGCCCACGUAGUGUACAUAGAAUUCCUCUCGGCCCUCCUGAUCAUUCACUCGAGACUGAAUCACUUCAGCAGAAUCUGUGAAAGAAAAAGGAUAGGAUCAUCAGAAAGGCAGAAAGGACCAAGAAGAAUCCUUCACACUGAGGAGCAGUUUCCAGAUUCCAGGGACAUACACAAGCUAACAUCACCCGUCUACAUCUGUCAUUCCAUCAAUCGCUGCCUGUGAAGUGGGCCAGGUUGGAGCUGUUACUCUUACUUUACAGAUGAAAAACUGAAGCUUACCCAGGCUCACAUAUUUGAAAAACAAUAAGAAGUUAACAUUUAACUGAGUUUAAGUCUGGCUCCAAAUGCAAUGCUUGUUUUACUAUACUUAGUUGCUCAUUUGUUCAGCAGUCAUGAAGGCUGGCUCUGGGUUUAUAUACAAUUCUAGCUCCUCACUUCCUAUGUUUAAGUGCAAAUUAUUUUGGUUGAGCCUCAGUUUCUUCAUCUACAAAACACAACUAAUAGUGCCCACCUCAGAGGGUGAGCUAAUGCCUCUAAAGCAUGUAGCAUAUAGCGCCUGACAACUAGCCAACCAUUCAACAAAUGAGUAAGGCAACCACUGCGUGUCUGGUCCUACGCUGUGUUAUUGCUGGGUAGAGAGGAUUCACAGCAGUGAAUCACAAGAGGUCCUGCCCUCCAGAAGUUCCCACUUUGAUAUGGGAAGACACAGACGAUGACUACAUAAUGUCACAUAUACUAUGGCUAGCUGAGGUAUGAAGAAAAUGUUGUAGGCACAUUCAUAAGGGAAGGACUCACUUUGCCUGAAGGGAGUCAGUAAUGGCAUCACAAGGGAUAUGGUGUGUUAAAGGAUGAGUAGGAGCUAGCUAGGUGAACAAGAAAGGCAAGGGCAUUCAAGCAUUUGGCACAGGUGGUAAAAGGCAUGUAGUCUUCAGAGUACAGUGUGGUCUAGUCUGGCAAUGGCCUUUGCUAGGGGUGUCUAAAAACCACAGGUCACAAAGAUGUCCCCUCCGCUGGCGGUUGUAGAAGAGGGAUGGAAAAGUAAGUCGCAGAGACCAGAGAGACCAGCAAGGAACGAUGGUUUUGUUUAAAAAGGGAAUGAAGUCUAAGAUUGGAUAAGCAAGUGGAAUGGGAGCUCUACAUACAAUUAAACGGGAGCUGCUUGUGUUCCAGGAGAGCCAGACUGGUGGGGUUUGUAGGCGGUGCCCGGGAGGGGCGGAAACUCCGCGCUUUUCCCUCAAGCCCCGCCCCUACAACGUCAGCCCCUCAGAGAACCCGCCCUCAUGCCCCGCCCCCUGUCCCUGGGCCCCGCCCUCACGCCAGGUGCUAUCCGGUCGUCGGCACAGGUACGUUUCUCCGAUCUCCACGGUGACUUCCGGCUCGCCGCGCGCUGGAGUCGGGGGAGAGACGCGGCCCGGGGACGGGGCGGUCCCCUCGACCGCCGCAUUCUCCCCGGGCCCGGGAUCGCUCUCCCCCGCGACCCCUGAAGUAGCCGCCGCAACCGCAGCAGCUGCUCCCUGUGCCGCCAUCGUCGUAGUGGAAAUGACGCUGGAAUCCAGCGCCGCGCAGCGCUUUUAGUUCCGGGUCAGCGACGCGUGGCGGAGGCAGCUACCGCCCUGAAGGCGGGGCCUGUGGCGUAGCAAGAGCUCACUGGUUAGUGCGGCGUUUUAGCGGUCCCUGACAAGUUUGACCUUUCGUGUGCCAAUCGCGCUGGAAUUUUUUUUUUUCCGUAUAGAAAUAUGGCUGAACCCUGAGUUGAAAGAGGAGACCUUCGUGAUGUGUGAUGACUCAGCCCGAUCUUUUUAAAGGGCCUGGUGCCUGAGGAAGCCAGGAGGUGCCAAUUACCAGAGGCACUGCCCCCACUUUACCCGGUACCGGGACGGAGCCAGAGCUGCCUCCCUGGCUGCAGUAGGGCUUUGAGCUUGGAAUUAACACCCACUUCUGCGUUGCCCACUUCCGCCAACCUAAAGCCCCGUCACCCCUUUUGUAAAGAUUGAAGGAACUGCCGUCCUUGUUCACGGUGAAGGAAACAGGACGGCUGUGUCCAGGGAUAGCUAGUAAAUUGCUCUCAUAGAAUUAAGCCUUUUUAAAGGCUUAAUUUGUCCCCUAGACAAAUUAGACGCAGUGGACAUAUUAGAGAGCGUCUUGGGCUUAGUGAGGAAUCCGGGUUCUGAUCCUACUCUGGGUAAAUUGUACAAAGGUGUCCAUUCUCGAGGGUCGGUAAAGGUUAAACUAUACAUAACUGUAUAACCCAUAUAACUAUAUAAAGGGUAUCCCUUAUGUAUAUAAGUGCAUCGCACAGUACCAAGCAAGGUAGGUGUUCAAUAAAUGUUUUUUUGCCAUUCCCUUAA
Molecule: long non-coding RNA, 2433 nt
Organism: Felis catus (domestic cat)
Lineage: Eukaryota; Metazoa; Chordata; Mammalia; Carnivora; Felidae
Exons: 2
Source: RefSeq, a predicted model, not a curated record